AAUGGGGGAAACCCUGACGCAGCCAUGCCGCAUGAAUGACGAAGGUCUUAGGAUUGUAAAAUUCUUUCAGCGGGGACGAUAAUGACGGUACCCGCAGAAGAAGUCCCGGCUAACUUCGUGCCAGCAGCCGCGGUAAUACGAAGGGGGCUAGCGUUGCUCGGAAUUACUGGGCGUAAAGGGCGCGUAGGCGGAUGUUUAAGUCAGAGGUAAAAGCCCAGGGCUCAACCUUGGAACUGCCUUUGAUACUGGACAUCUUGAGUACGGGAGAGGUGUGUGGAACUCCGAGUGUAGAGGUGAAAUUCGUAGAAAUUCGGAAGAACACCAGUGGCGAAGGCGACACACUGGCCCGUUACUGACGCUGAGGCGCGAAAGCGUGGGGAGCAAA
RNAcentral lists this ribosomal RNA (385 nucleotides) under uncultured bacterium. RNAcentral describes it as "bacterial SSU rRNA". It matches the Rfam family "Bacterial small subunit ribosomal RNA", at positions 370 to 772 of the family's 1533-position model. The record is from RNAcentral.